This is a long non-coding RNA of Oncorhynchus tshawytscha (Chinook salmon), 805 nucleotides long. The record is from Ensembl. Lineage: Eukaryota; Metazoa; Chordata; Actinopteri; Salmoniformes; Salmonidae.
GGAGUAGUGGUUGUAACGUAUUAGUGGAGUAGUGGUUGUAACGUAUUAGUGGAGUAGUGGUUGUAACGUAUUAGUGGAGUAGUGGUUGUAACGUAUUAGAGGAGUAGUGGUUGUAACGUAUUAGAUGAGUAGUGGUUGUAACGUAUUAGUGGAGUAGUGGUUGUAACGUAUUAGAGGAGUGGUGGUUGUAACGUAUUAGAUGAGGCUGUAUUAGUGGAGUAGUGGUUGUAACGUAUUAGCGGAGUAGUGGUUGUAAUGUAUUAGUGGAGUAGUGGUUGUAAUGCAUUAGAUGAAGCUUGGUUGUAACGUAUUAGUGGAGUAGUGGUUGUAACGUAUUAGAGGAGUGGUGGUUGUAACGUAUUAGAUGAGGCUGUAUUAGUGGAGUAGUGGUUGUAACGUAUUAGUGGAGUAGUGGUUGUAACGUAUUAGUGGAGUAGUGGUUGUAACGUAUUAGAGGAGUAGUGGUUGUAACGUAUUAGAUGAGGCUUGGUUGUAACGUAUUAGUGGAGUAGUGGUUGUAACGUAUUAGAGGAGUAGUGGUUGUAACGUAUUAGAGGAGUGGUGGUUGUAACGUAUUAGAUGAGGCUGUAUUAGUGGAGUAGUGGUUGUAACGUAUUAGUGGAGUAGUGGUUGUAACGUAUUAGUGGAGUAGUGGUUGUAACGUAUUAGUGGAGUAGUGGUUGUAACGUAUUAGUGGAGUUGUGGUUGUAACUAUUAGUGGAGUAGUGGUUGUAACGUAUUAGUGGAGUAGUGGUUUGGCUGUAUUAGUGGAGUAGUGGUUGUAACGCAUUAGUGGAGUAGUGGU